This 253-nucleotide ribosomal RNA is filed under the name uncultured bacterium. Its description in RNAcentral is "partial 16S ribosomal RNA". It matches the Rfam family "Bacterial small subunit ribosomal RNA", at positions 524 to 776 of the family's 1533-position model. The record is from RNAcentral.
UACGUAGGGGGCGAGCGUUGUCCGGAUUUAUUGGGCGUAAAGAGCGUGUAGGCGGCCAGGUAGGUCUGCUGUGAAAACUCGAGGCUCAACCUCGAGACGUCGGCGGAAACCAUCUGGCUAGAGUCCGGAAGAGGAGAGUGGAAUUCCUGGUGUAGCGGUGAAAUGCGCAGAUAUCAGGAGGAACACCAAUUGCGAAGGCAGCUCGCUGGAACGUAACUGACGCUGAGACGCGAAAGCGUGGGGAGCGAACAGG